This 68-nucleotide transfer RNA is filed under the name Marmota monax (woodchuck). RNAcentral's name for it is "tRNA.Ser". It matches the Rfam family "tRNA". From Rfam's summary of the family: Transfer RNA (tRNA) molecules are approximately 80 nucleotides in length. The record is from RNAcentral. Lineage: Eukaryota; Metazoa; Chordata; Mammalia; Rodentia; Sciuridae.
GGAUGUAGCUCAGUGGUAGAGAACCUGCCCAGAAAGCAGAAGGUCUGGGUUCCAUCCCUAGCACUCCA